UGCUUUGUUCGGGAUCGAUCCUGUGGCGAAUGGUAUUCAGCGUUUCUCACAUCAAGACAGGGAGAGAGGGGGAAAAACAUUUUGUCAAUACUGUAAUGAUUGAGACAGAGUAGAUGGACAAGAUGCGGGUCUAUAUUAUAGGAAAAACUCGAUGAGAGACGACCAACUAUGGUUUCCAGAUACAAUAUCCAUGCUGAAGAUACAAAUCCUUGAUGCUAUGCCAACAACAGAGAAAGGGAGCCUGAUUUGAGAUGUUCUUCUGUUGUUGAUUGCUCAACAUUGAGAGAUAUUUCAAGGGCUCAGAGAGCUGACUGAGGAGAAGUCUUUUGAAAGAGCAAAGCCCGAUGACCAGGCGAAGGAAAUCAAGGCUCCCUAGUGUGUCGCCUUAGCAACGGGGGAAAAUUAGCAUUGACUUCCGAGCAAGCCUACAAAACUAGGCUUCAGGGGAUUUUUUACAUCUUGAAAGUGACAAUCAAAGAAGAUCUAAAGACAUGCUUCCACUUCCAUUUAUAUUGAAAUCAGUUUCCUUCUUUUUCCGCUGCCAGAACACAAAAAGUCUUAAUGUAUGUAUUUUUGCUCAUUUUACUGUGUUGUGCAGUUUCCCCAUGAUGCCCCCCUUGCUCAUGUUUGCCUCCCGCCGUGGCAAACAAAACAUGUCUGUGAUAGUGAAGUCAUUACAGAGCACUUCCCAAAAUGAACUACAACUGACACUGGCUUCCUCAUU
Molecule: long non-coding RNA, 724 nt
Organism: Neoarius graeffei (lesser salmon catfish)
Lineage: Eukaryota; Metazoa; Chordata; Actinopteri; Siluriformes; Ariidae
Exons: 3
Source: RefSeq, a predicted model, not a curated record